GGCUUGAGGACCGUAUUCAUGGAAGAGGAUCGAACAGAGAUGAAGUAGACAGUAUGUUGGAUAAAUCUGAAGUAAACAACCCAGCAAUUGGUAAAGAUGAAAAUAUAUCGCCUCAAGUAAAAGGACAUGAAGACAGGGGACAUGAAGUAGGCAGUAUGUUGGAUAAAUCUGGAGAUGACAUUUAUAAGACGCUUCACAUAAAGAGAAAAUGGAUGGAAACUUAUGUCAAAGAAUCUUUCAAAGGCAGGAACCAGAAAUUAGAAAGAUUUUGCAAAAUGAACGAACGAGAGAGGAAGAACAUCAACAACAAAUUUUGUGAGCAGUAUAUAACUACAUUUCAGAAGUCUUAUAUGGAUGUACAGAAAUUCAAUGAGGAAAAAGAAAAAUCAGUGAAUAGUUGUCAAAAAGAACAACAAGCAUUGAAACUGUCCAAAUGUAGUCAGAACCAGACCCUGGAAGCAGGUAAAGAAAUGCAUGAGAAGUCCAUGGAGCUGCAUCAUUGGACUCAAACUGAAUGGUCCAUGUGUUGCCACUGAUGUGAGCCAUUUGCAAGCC
Molecule: non-coding RNA, 555 nt
Filed under: Mus musculus (house mouse)
Lineage: Eukaryota; Metazoa; Chordata; Mammalia; Rodentia; Muridae
Source: RNAcentral